UGAUCCUGGCUCAGGAUGGACGCUAGCGGCAGGCUUAACACAUGCAAGUCGAGGGGUAACAGGUCACUUCGGUGAUGCUGACGACCGGCGCACGGGUGAGUAACGCGUAUGGAACCUACCUGAAACAGGGGGAUAGCUUCCGGAAACGGGGAUUAAUACCCCAUACGAUUCAUUUGUGGCCUCACAAAUGGAUAAAAGCUACGGCGGUUUCAGAUGGUCAUGCGUACCAUUAGUUAGUUGGUGAGGUAAAGGCUCACCAAGGCGAUGAUGGUUAGGGGUCCUGAGAGGGUAGUCCCCCACACUGGUACUGAGACACGGACUAGACUCCUACGGGAGGCAGCAGUGAGGAAUAUUGGUCAAUGGGCGCUAGCCUGAACCAGCCAUGCCGCGUGCAGGAAGACGGCCCUACGGGUUGUAAACUGCUUUUCUGCAGGAAGAAUAUAUAGUCUUAGGGCUAUAUUGACGGUACUGCAGGAAUAAGCAUCGGCUAACUCCGUGCCAGCAGCCGCGGUAAUACGGAGGAUGCAAGCGUUAUCCGGAUUCAUUGGGUUUAAAGGGUGCGCAGGCUGUAAAGCAAGUCAGUGGUGAAAGCCCUGGGCUUAACUCAGGGAUUGCCAUUGAAACUGUUUUACUAGAGUGUAGUAGAGGACGGCGGAAUGAGUUGUGUAGCGGUGAAAUGCAUAGAUAUAACUCAGAACACCUAUUGCGUAGGCAGCUGUCUAUACUACAACUGACGCUGAGGCACGAAAGCGUGGGGAGCGAACAGGAUUAGAUACCCUGGUAGUCCACACUGUAAACGAUGAUCACUCGUUGUUGGCUACUUAGUAGUCAGUGACCAAGGGAAACCGAUAAGUGAUCCACCUGGGGAGUACGUCGGCAACGAUGAAACUCAAAGGAAUUGACGGGGGCCCGCACAAGCGGAGGAACAUGUGGUUUAAUUCGAUGAUACGCGAGGAACCUUACCUGGGCUUAAAUGCUGGCUGCAUUGGAGGGAAACCUUCAUUUCCUACGGGACCGCCAGCAAGGUGCUGCAUGGUUGUCGUCAGCUCGUGCCGUGAGGUGUCGGGUUAAGUCCCAUAACGAGCGCAACCCCUAUCGCUAGUUGCCAGCAUGUAAUG
This 1118-nucleotide ribosomal RNA is filed under the name uncultured organism. RNAcentral's name for it is "bacterial SSU rRNA". It matches the Rfam family "Bacterial small subunit ribosomal RNA", at positions 14 to 1130 of the family's 1533-position model. The record is from RNAcentral.